RNA transcript from Monopterus albus (swamp eel), 823 nucleotides. It is a transcript of the gene named amine sulfotransferase-like, with no coding region annotated. The transcript has 6 exons. The record is from RefSeq and is a predicted model, not a curated record. NCBI's taxonomy places the organism in Eukaryota, Metazoa, Chordata, Actinopteri, Synbranchiformes, Synbranchidae.
UUGGCAUGGUGGAGACACUACUGAACCAGGCCAAGCUCUAAUUGCUGUUUGUUUGUUUGUCAGAUCAUCUAUGUGAUGCGUAAUCCAAAGGACGUCAUCACCUCCUAUUACCACUUCAGCAGUAUCGCCUCCUACAUCGAGACUCCCAAGAGCUUUGAACACUAUUUGGAUCAGUUUCUGACUGGCAACGUUGGAGGGUCGUCCUGGUUUGACCACAUCAGAGAGUGGCAUUCAAAGAAAGACCAGUACAACAUCCUCUUCCUGACCUAUGAGGACAUGAUCUUGGACCUGAAGGCAGCAGUAACUAAGAUCUACAGUUUCUUAGGAAAACAGCUCAGUGAAGCAGCCAUUGAUCAAGUUGUAGAAAAAGCCACAUUUAAAACCAUGAAGAAAGACCCAAAAGCCAACUAUGAAUUUGUAUCAAAAGACACCAUCAGUGGAAACUUCAUGCGCAAAGUGGCUAUAUAAGCAGCCGGGGCUAAGGAGUCCACUGGUGACCAACCCAGAGGAGAGGGAGACGGCUGUCUGCAGUGUGUGCUCUCACGCUACCACCACAUUAAAGUCUCAAGGAAUUGUAGCAUAACAAGUGGAGACAGACAAAUGGCAGAGUCAAGGAAGGAACUAGAGGAGGCCUUGUGCCGCUACACCACAGAUACCCUCAUCUACAUCGACACAGUAAGAGGAUUCUGUGAGACGAUCUCUAAAUGGAUGCUCAGGAGUGAGACAGAAUUACACAUGAUGAUGGACAUCAAAGACAGGGCUGACAAAAUCGACCUUAACAUCAACCAUGUUAGAAAGUCAAAGAGCAAAGGCAAGGCCUUUA